Molecule: ribosomal RNA, 425 nt
Filed under: uncultured bacterium
Lineage: Bacteria
Description: bacterial SSU rRNA
Rfam family: Bacterial small subunit ribosomal RNA
Source: RNAcentral
CCAGACUCCUACGGGAGGCAGCAGUGAGGAAUAUUGGUCAAUGGGCGGAAGCCUGAACCAGCCAAGUCGCGUGAGGGAAUAAGGCCAUACGGGUCGUAAACCUCUUUUGCCGGGGAGCAAAGUGCCGCACGUGUGCGGUUUGGAGAGUACCCGGAGAAAAAGCAUCGGCUAACUCCGUGCCAGCAGCCGCGGUAAUACGGAGGAUGGGAGCGUUAUCCGGAUUUAUUGGGUUUAAAGGGUGCGUAGGCGGACCUUUAAUUCGGCGGUAAAAUUGCGGGGCUCACCCUCGUCGAGCCGUUGAAACUGGGUGCCUUGAGUGGGCGAGAAGUACGCGGAAUGCGCGGUGUAGCGGUGAAAUGCUUAGAUAUCGCGCAGAACCCCGAUUGCGAAGGCAGCGUACCGGCUCCACACUGACGCUGAGGCAC